Molecule: ribosomal RNA, 253 nt
Filed under: uncultured bacterium
Lineage: Bacteria
Description: partial 16S ribosomal RNA
Rfam family: Bacterial small subunit ribosomal RNA
Source: RNAcentral
UACGUAGGGGGCAAGCGUUGUCCGGAUUUAUUGGGCGUAAAGAGCGUGUAGGCGGUUAGGUAGGUCCGUUGUGAAAACUCGAGGCUCAACCUCGAGACGCCGAUGGAAACCAUCUAACUAGGGUCCGGAAGAGGAGAAUGGAAUUCCUGGUGUAGCGGUGAAAUGCGCAGAUAUCAGGAAGAACACCCAUGGCUAAGGCGGUUCUCUAGUACGGUACUGACGCUGAGACGCGAAAGCGUGGGGAGCGAACAGG